This 223-nucleotide long non-coding RNA is filed under the name Salvia miltiorrhiza (redroot sage). RNAcentral's name for it is "long non-coding RNA (SMIL_LNC008879)". Lineage: Eukaryota; Viridiplantae; Streptophyta; Magnoliopsida; Lamiales; Lamiaceae. The record is from RNAcentral.
GGGGGCUCCUGGUACACAUACUGUGGUAUGAACGCUUCAUUGAUGGCUGGUUGUUUCUGAGCCUCUCUCGUCUCCUGUGCAUCAAGUAGCUUCUUCAACUGCUCUUGCAGAGCUCGAAUUUGGAUUUGCUCUGGAGUAGCCAUUGUUUCUGUCUCAACUUGAUCGUUCUGCUUCUUUAGAUUGCGCAAGGUCUUGUUGAUUUCAGGGUCUAACUCAAAGAGAG